RNAcentral lists this ribosomal RNA (465 nucleotides) under uncultured bacterium. Its description in RNAcentral is "partial 16S ribosomal RNA". It matches the Rfam family "Bacterial small subunit ribosomal RNA", at positions 339 to 795 of the family's 1533-position model. The record is from RNAcentral.
CUACGGGUGGCAGCAGUGAGGAAUUUUGCGCAAUGGGGGCAACCCUGACGCAGCAACGCCGCGUGAGUGAAGAAGGCCUUUGGGUCGUAAAGCUCUGUCAACAGGGAAGAAGUUACUUCAUAUUAAUAGUAUGUAGUAUUGACGGUACCUGUGGAGGAAGCAUCGGCUAACUCCGUGCCAGCAGCCGCGGUAAUACGGGGGAUGCAAGCGUUAUUCGGAAUCAUUGGGCGUAAAGGGCACGCAGGCGGCUCUGUCAGUCAGAUGUGAAAGCCCGGGGCUCAACCCCGGACGUGCAUUUGAAACAGCAGAGCUUGAGUACGGUAGAGGAAAGCGGAAUUCCUGGUGUAGAGGUGAAAUUCGUAGAUAUCAGGAGGAACACCGGUGGCGAAGGCGGCUUUCUGGACCGAAACUGACGCUGAGGUGCGAAGGCGUGGGUAGCGAACAGGAUUAGAUACCCUAGUAGUC